This is an RNA transcript of Vitis vinifera (wine grape), 5769 nucleotides long. RefSeq lists it as uncharacterized. The transcript is spliced from 11 exons. The record is from RefSeq and is a predicted model, not a curated record. NCBI's taxonomy places the organism in Eukaryota, Viridiplantae, Streptophyta, Magnoliopsida, Vitales, Vitaceae.
CUUUAGUCUCGAGACUUUCCUCUCUUUCACCUCUUUUUCUUCUCCUCUUCUCUUUUAUGGACCUUAUCGUCGUCACGAUCUCACCUUCUUGUUCCAAACAAAUUUUUUCCCCUGCUAGCUUAGAAAGUGAAAGAAACUGGAGGUAGGAAGACGAGGCUUUUGUGUCUCAUCUAUGGUGGCGUCUCCCCGAAGUGGAAUCUAGGGCUCGGCGGAAAGAAGGGGAAGUGAAAGGCGGAGGACUUUUGAGUUUUAUUGGCCGAGAGGCUAGGGCACGGUGUGAUUUGGUUCGAUCUCGGUGUGGAAGCUCGGGGAAUCAACUUAUUACGUAGUGGUUUUGUGGUUGUGGGAUUUUGGAAACCUUAGAUUUGGGUCAGGGUUGUGUGGUUGGCUGAUUAAGCUAGGGGCGGGGCUGCCCUUGCGAUUGACUGGGUUUUCAUGCUGUCAAAACCACUGCCUUGGGAUCGGAAGGACUUCUUCAAGGAGAGGAGAGGAAGCACGAGAGGUCGGAGUCUUUAAGUUUGCUGCAAGAUAGAGGACUCGCAUCAGGGUUCUUGGGAGUUUGCUCGUCGGAAUCGGCUGACUUGCACCGUCCUACAGAAGCACGAGAGGUCUGAGUCUUUAGGUUUGCUGCAAGAUAGAGGGACUCGCAUCAAGUUCUUGGGAGUUUGCUCGCCGGGAUCGGUAGACUUUCGCCCCCCUACAGGGACACUUUUCUUUGCCAUGAGCAAUGUUGGGAUAAAGCGUCCCUGUGAGUGUACCAUUGCCCAUGAUAUAUCACUGGAAAAUGUUUCAAGAAUGCAUGAGCUUUCGGAAGCCUUCCAUGCUAUUUCCUUAAGACACACAUGCCUCUUGUCUAUCUUGGAGUAGUUUAGUAAACUGAGUUCUAGGGCCGGGUAUGUGAUGCUUUCUCUCUCUCUAUAUAUCUAUUUAUAACUGCCAUUUCUACUAAUAACUUACUAAGGAAGAAGUUGGAAAUACUUUUGGAGUUGUGGGAAGUCUCAAUGGAGGCAAUUGCCUGGAAGCCUAAAUAUUUGUCUUACAAAAAUCUUUAGCCAGCUUUUGAUAUAUGAAUUAAUAUAAUUCAAUACAAAUGAUUCACAUGUGUACUAUUGUCCACUCUAAAUGAAUACCCAACUAACCGAAGCAAAAGGAGGUUAGCGCAAUGCAAGAAAAAAAAAACUAUUUUUAAGUUCAUUGGUCAUUUUAGCUCAACAUUGGUCUAUCACUGGUAGAAACAUGCCUCCGAAAAUCAUGAUUUUCCAUUGUUAAAAAAAGCCUAACCCACAUAAUUCGAGGCUAUAAUACAACUGACAUUUGAUUCUUGAUCUCUAGCUAAAUAUAUUGUACAAAAAGUGGUAAAAAAUAAGGCUGCAGGUUGCUUUCAGAAAAUUGGCUGCAGGUUAUACAUGCUUCAUCAUGUACUAGAAAAUAAGGCACUAGUAACAUAAUGGUACACUCCGCUCAAUUUCUUUUUGUUUUUUUAAAAUAGAUACUUCUAUUUUUAUUUUUGUUGUUAUCAUGAAAUGUAGGUUACUUACUUUUUAACUUUGGGUAUAAAUAUACAAAAGGAAAUCUAUAAGUUGUAUCUAAUCUUACAGAACUGUAAUUUAACUAAUACAUCAUUAUUGGGAUUGUCUUAAUUUUCUGUUUUUUUUCCUUUCUCUGUUUGAGAACAAGGCUAAAGGUCAUUCUGUCCAUGAUCUUGUUGAGAUAGUUGCCCACCUAUCUUCAUACUUGAAGCAUGCUUGACCUAAGUCACAUGGAAAAAAAUCAGGACAAUAAACCUGGAUUCUAACACUUCCUCAAUCCAAUAAAAAAUGAGAGCUUCUCUAAUUGGCUCUAUCAUGUUACUCUGCAUGCCAAUAAAGUUUCUGCUUUCCCUUUUGAUUAGUUACAGAAAAUAAUAAUAAUAAUAAUAAUAAUAAAAUUAAUUGUAGGGAUGGUUCUAUCAUUGAAUCUUUCUGGUUCCAGCUAAACACAUACCACAACUACCAUGGAUUUAGAAAACCAUUAGGAUUGGAGAGGUGGCAGAGCUGCCUCCUUCAACAUUAUACCCAACAGCACUGGUGCUGCAAAGGUAUUAAAAGGACCUGUAUCCAUGGAUUCAAAACCAAUAUGUUGGGUUGUCAUGAGCCACAUUCAGUUGAUGCACUACAGCCGAAUCUAUGAUUCUGUCUUCUCUAGUUGAUUUUCUUUGCUGGGAAAGGCAAAGGAAUUAUUCUGCAAAUACCACAUUCUAAUAGAAUGGAUGUAGAGCAUAUGGAAGGGUGGGAUUUAAUUAUAUUGUUGAUCAAAAUAUAAAUGUCUUUCUUCUUAUAAAGAUUAAUAUUUUUUUCCAACAACCAAGGGUGUUUGAUUUUUUUUUUUCCUUAAUUCAUAUCAAUCCCAAUUGAAAGGCACGAUGAGUACAGAAGAAACUCAAAUUUUAUAAAGGAAUUCAUUUUCCUUGGUGGAUGUUUUCCUUCAUUCAUUAGAGUAACAAUGGCCAUACUGUUGCAUCAAGACACUGGUAAAAGCUAAUACAAUGAUUUGGAAUUAAUCAUCUUUCUUCCACUUUCUGAAAAAAUUAAUCUAAGAGAGUUGUGUAAAUGCAGUGUGGAGCAUCUGGAAAACAUAAGAAUACAUUAUCACCAGACACUCAAACGUUGUAGAGCCAACUCUAUUUUAGUAAUCCAAUGUGUCUGACAGGCAACCGGCUUAAUGGAAAUAUUCCAGAUGGAAUCAAGGGAAGGCAGAGCCGCACGAACUUGUUCAGAAGCUUUUCUGAGGAGGGGAACUUAGAACUUGGUGGGUGCCUGGAAAACUAUCCUUGUCAAAAAGGUGAGUACAUAAAAUGUGAGGUGAAUUUCUCAGUUAUUUUAUCCUAGAUGAUUGAGACUUAUCUUUGGUAUUGAAAUGAAAUUAUAUCAUCUCAUCAAGGACAUAAAAUUUAGUUUUAUUUAUUUAUAUAUUUAUAUAUUUAUUUAUGUUUAAUAUAACCGAUCACCAUCUAUAACUUUUCUGUUUUCUUAAGAUCGUUAUUCAUUGCAUAUAAAUUGUGGUGGAGAGAAAUCUACUGUUGGAAAUGUUGUUUAUGAAGGGGAUCAAUAUGAAGGAGGUGCAACAAAAUUUCAUCCUAUGAUUGAUUAUUGGGGAUUUAGUAGCACUGGACACUUCUGGGAUCAUAACAAAACCAUAAAUGAUUACAUAGCACAAAAUGUAUCCGUACUUGGAAUGAACCACUCUGGGUUGUACACCAGAGCACGACUUUCUCCUCUAUCUUUUACUUACUAUGGGCGCUGCUUAGCAAAUGGGAACUAUACAGUAAAAAUUCACUUUGCAGAGAUUGUUCUGCUAUGACAAAUAAUUAUAAAGUUAUUCUGUUAAAUUAUGAAAUCAAUAGUUUUGUAACCUCAGUCAGUUAUUUAACAACUUCAUGAAAACCAGCUCAAUUCCUCUAUUUUAUUUUAUUUUUCUAACCAAUUUACUCCCUGAUAUCUGCAAUGCUAAAGAAAUCUUUUUAUAGAAAACAUCAAUUGAAUGGAAUUGUGUGCUAAGCAUAGCAUUCAAGCUAACACUGUUGUUUUUAUUUUUGAUAUAUUUCAAGCCUCUUUCUAAUGGCAAAAAGAAGAUACUCAUUGCAGUUCUAGUUUCAGUAUUGGUUUUCAUUUUCACAAUUUUGGGCCUUAUUUUCUGGAAAUGUUACUUUGGAUAGAGAACAUCAAGUGAACAAGGUAAUGUAAAUCUAUGACACAAGCUUUGGUGUGACCAUGUGAGAAGGAUCAUAAAUAUGUUUCCCAACUAUUGCAGGAAGUAGGAAGAAUUUGUGGCAACUUGAAUAUAAUUAUAAGUAGCCUAUAGACUCAAACUGGCCAUGACCUAAAUAAAAAAUAAUCAUCUAGAAAACAUAAGAAUACAUUAUCACUUGACACUCAAACGUUGGAGGAAAAAUUUCUUGGACAAUGAGAGGUAAGAAGCAUAAACUCUGCACCAAAAGAUGUAUUAUGUGCAGCAACUAGUUGAAUCAAGAAGCCUUCCUCUUCCAGUAAACAGGUUUUUUGGGAUAUAUAUUACCAAAAUGAAAUAUUUGAUUAAAAGGAUUUUGAGCACAUGCCCUUGGAAGAAGACAAAUCAAAACCUAGCAUCAGACAUUAUUUUCAAGUUAUUUCAUAUUUAUAGCUUGUUGGGUAUUAUAAAUGAAAAGGUUUGCAAUUGGUUUGGUGGAGUCACAUGUAUUGUUUAUACUAUUGUUUUAAUUCUAUUUUCAUCUAUCAUGUGCUAAUAUGGCAACUUAUUAUCAUGUCAGGUUUUAAUGCAUGACUUCAUUAUAAGAUAUAAUGUCAUGGCACCUACGCUUGGACUAGUCUCUUAUUUACCCAUAUUGGAGACAUACUUCAUUAAUAACCUAGCAAGUGUAAGGAGUUUGCAACUGGAGCUCAAGUCUCGCAUUGAGGAGUUUGAGAAGCUUGACAAAUUCCAUAUGGAACAAAUGGAAGAAGAGGUUAUCGCAAGAAAUGCCCACAUACAUCAACAAAAAGUUGGUAGUUUGGAAUGUUUUAUGGUAGCUAAGAGCAGUGCAGAAGAAUUUUCAAAAACUGAUAUUGUUGAAGGAAACAUAAUGGUAUGCUGCUGCUGAUAAUGUUAUUGUUGCUAUUUAUGCUACUCAUCCAACUCCUAUGGAGAAAUAUGGAAGUUGUGGUUGAAAAGGUUUGCAAUAGGUUUGGUGGAGUCACAUGUAUUGUUUAUAUUAUUGUUUUAAUUCUAUUUUCAUCUAUCAUGUGCUAAUAUGACAACUUAUUAUCAUGUCAGAUUUUAAUGCAUGACUUCAUUAUAAGAUAUAAUGUCAUGACACCUACGCUUGGACUAGUCUCUUAUUUACCCAUAUUGGAGACAUACUUCAUUAAUAACCUAGCAAGGUAUUAAGUUGUUCUUGCAUUACCUCAUUUGCAAUUUAUUUUUUUAAUAAUUGGUGUAUUUUUUUCACGCUAACGAAAACCAGAGGAAGGAGUUUGCAACUGGAACUCAAGUCUCGCAUUGAGGAGUUUGAGAAGCUUGACAAAUUCCAUAUGGAACAAAUAGAAGAAGAGGUUACUGCAAGAAAUGCCCACAUACAUCAACAAAAAGUUGGUAGCUUGGAAUGUUUUAUGGUAGCUAAGAGCAAUGCAGAAGAAUUUUCAAAAACUGAUAUUGUUGAAGCAUGGACACAUUGAAGAGACAUCUUCCUAUUUCUGGACUAGAGGGACUUCAUGAGCUAAGGAAAAUUGUUGAAAGGUUUGAGGAAAAGAUUUAUUCUACUGCCACAAGCCAGGUAUAUCCAUCAUGCUAGUAUUUACUCAACCAUUCCUCAAGACCUAUGAACAUUUUUUGUAUCCAUCCUUAGUGUAAAAGAUUAAAGUGCAAAACUUGAUAUUAUCUUAUCUUACUUUGUCUUUAAUAAUUUGAUGAAUUGAUAUAUUUUUAUUUUUACUUCUAAUUCAGUCCGAUUACUUUUGAAAAAUAUCUUUGAAGAUGUUGACAAUGGAAACAAAAUCUUUUAAUGCUACAACCAAUUCUCUACCAUCCAACUCUGUUGGUCACAACAAAAAAUCCCCUAAUGACAAGAAAUCCCCUGCUAGGAAAAAGACCCUCAGAUCCAGGUAACAACAUGAAGAAGUAAUGUGUUUUUUUUUAUGAAAUGCAACAAUCAAAAUUUUGCUUCUAUGAACUGCAACAGUGGAAAUUUUGCAUUUUAUGAAAUGCAAUGGUGGAAAUUUUGCUUUUUAUGAAAUGCCACAAUAGAAGUUUAGCUAA